CCUACGGGAGGCAGCAGUGGGGAAUUUUGGACAAUGGGCGCAAGCCUGAUCCAGCAAUGCCGCGUGAGUGAAGAAGGCCUUCGGGUUGUAAAGCUCUUUUGUCAGGGAAGAAACGGGUCUUUCUAAUACAGAGAUCUAAUGACGGUACCUGAAGAAUAAGCACCGGCUAACUACGUGCCAGCAGCCGCGGUAAU
This 194-nucleotide ribosomal RNA is filed under the name uncultured bacterium. RNAcentral's name for it is "partial 16S ribosomal RNA". It matches the Rfam family "Bacterial small subunit ribosomal RNA", at positions 338 to 524 of the family's 1533-position model. The record is from RNAcentral.